UGGGGAAUAUUGCGCAAUGGGGGAAAGACCCUGACGCAGCAACGCCGCGUGAUUGAAGAAGGCCUUCGGGUUGUAAAGAUCUUUAAUUGGGGACGAAAAAUGACGGUACCCAAAGAAUAAGCUCCGGCUAACUACGUGCCAGCAGCCGCGGUAAUACGUAGGGAGCAAGCGUUAUCCGGAUUUACUGGGUGUAAAGGGCGAGUAGGCGGGCUGGCAAGUUGGGAGUGAAAUCCCGGGGCUUAACCCCGGAACUGCUUUCAAAACUGCUGGUCUUGAGUGAUGGAGAGGCAGGCGGAAUUCCGUGUGUAGCGGUGAAAUGCGUAGAUAUACGGAGGAACACCAGUGGCGAAGGCGGCCUGCUGGACAUUAACUGACGCUGAGGAGCGAAAGCGUGGGGAGCAAACAGGAUUAGAUACC
This 417-nucleotide ribosomal RNA is filed under the name uncultured bacterium. RNAcentral's name for it is "bacterial SSU rRNA". It matches the Rfam family "Bacterial small subunit ribosomal RNA", at positions 355 to 786 of the family's 1533-position model. The record is from RNAcentral.